GAUGAACGCUGGCGGUAUGCCUAACACAUGCAAGUCGUACGAGAGUUUUUAACUCUAGUGGCGGACGGGUGAGUAACACGUGAGAAUUUGCCUUUAGGAGGGGGACAACAAUUGGAAACGAAUGCUAAUACCCCAUAUGCUUUCGAGUGAAAUGGAUUUUAUCCGCCUAGAGAGAAGCUCGCGGCUGAUUAGCUUGUUGGUAAGGUAAGAGCUUACCAAGGCGACGAUCAGUAUCUGGUUUGAGAGGACGAUCAGACACACUGGAACUGAGACACGGUCCAGACUCCUACGGGAGGCAGCAGUGGGGAAUUUCCGCAAUGGGCGAAAGCCUGACGGAGCAAGACCGCGUGGGGGAGGAAGGUUCUUGGAUUGUAAACCCCUUUNUCUGGGAAGAAAAAAAUGACGGUACCAGAGGAAUAAGCAUCGGCUAACUCCGUG
This 438-nucleotide ribosomal RNA is filed under the name uncultured bacterium. Its description in RNAcentral is "bacterial SSU rRNA". It matches the Rfam family "Bacterial small subunit ribosomal RNA", at positions 28 to 507 of the family's 1533-position model. The record is from RNAcentral.